This 792-nucleotide ribosomal RNA is filed under the name Fusarium flocciferum. RNAcentral describes it as "partial large subunit ribosomal RNA". It matches the Rfam family "Eukaryotic large subunit ribosomal RNA", at positions 81 to 903 of the family's 3401-position model. Lineage: Eukaryota; Fungi; Ascomycota; Sordariomycetes; Hypocreales; Nectriaceae. The record is from RNAcentral.
UAGUAACGGCGAGUGAAGCGGCAACAGCUCAAAUUUGAAAUCUGGCUUUCGGGCCCGAGUUGUAAUUUGUAGAGGAUACUUUUGAUGCGGUGCCUUCCGAGUUCCCUGGAACGGGACGCCAUAGAGGGUGAGAGCCCCGUCUGGUUGGAUGCCAAAUCUCUGUAAAGUUCCUUCGACGAGUCGAGUAGUUUGGGAAUGCUGCUCUAAAUGGGAGGUAUAUGUCUUCUAAAGCUAAAUAUUGGCCAGAGACCGAUAGCGCACAAGUAGAGUGAUCGAAAGAUGAAAAGCACUUUGAAAAGAGAGUUAAAAAGUACGUGAAAUUGUUGAAAGGGAAGCGUUUAUGACCAGACUUGGACUUGGUUAAUCAUCUGGGGUUCUCCCCAGUGCACUUUUCCAGUUCAGGCCAGCAUCAGUUUUCGCCGGGGGAUAAAGGCAGCGGGAAUGUGGCUCUCUUCGGGGAGUGUUAUAGCCCGUUGUGUAAUACCCUGGUGGGGACUGAGGUUCGCGCUUCUGCAAGGAUGCUGGCGUAAUGGUCAUCAACGACCCGUCUUGAAACACGGACCAAGGAGUCGUCUUCGUAUGCGAGUGUUCGGGUGUCAAACCCCUACGCGUAAUGAAAGUGAACGCAGGUGAGAGCUUCGGCGCAUCAUCGACCGAUCCUGAUGUUCUCGGAUGGAUUUGAGUAAGAGCAUACGGGGCCGGACCCGAAAGAAGGUGAACUAUGCCUGUAUAGGGUGAAGCCAGAGGAAACUCUGGUGGAGGCUCGCAGCGGUUCUGACGUGCAAAUCGAUC